UAGGGAGGAAAAGAAACCAACAGGGAUUGCUCUAGUAACGGCGAGUGAACAAGCAAAAGCUCAGUUUUGAAAGCCUCUUCGGAGGCAUUGUAUUCUGAAGCCUAGAUUCUGGGAAACGGUACUUAAGUCUUCUGGAAAGGAGCGCCACGGAGGGUGAUAGCCCCGUACGGUACUGACCCCAUUGUAGUUUCUAGGCGUGGAGUCGAGUUGUUUGGGAAUGCAGCUCAAAUGGGAGGUAUGCUCCUUCUAAAGCUAAAUAUUUGCGAGAGACCGAUAGCGAACAAGUACUGUGAAGGAAAGAUGAAAAGAACUUUGAAAAGAGAGUGAAAUAGGACGUGAAAUUGUUGAAAUGGAAGGGUAGGCCGCUAACCAUGUAGGACCGUGUUUGAGGGGAAGAUAAAAGCUUCGGAAUGUGGCUCCUCGGAGUGUUAUAGCCGAAGUCAAUGUUCCCACUCGAGCGCGAGGAUCUCAGGUUCUACUAAAUGGUGGUCUACCACCCGUCU
RNAcentral lists this ribosomal RNA (503 nucleotides) under Starmerella sp. 11-1206. RNAcentral describes it as "eukaryotic LSU rRNA". It matches the Rfam family "Eukaryotic large subunit ribosomal RNA", at positions 49 to 654 of the family's 3401-position model. The record is from RNAcentral. Lineage: Eukaryota; Fungi; Ascomycota; Dipodascomycetes; Dipodascales; Trichomonascaceae.